This 329-nucleotide ribosomal RNA is filed under the name uncultured eukaryote. RNAcentral describes it as "partial 18S ribosomal RNA". It matches the Rfam family "Eukaryotic small subunit ribosomal RNA", at positions 1470 to 1796 of the family's 1831-position model. The record is from RNAcentral.
CCCUUAGAUGUUCUGGGCCGCACGCGCGCUACAAUGAUGAAUUCAACGAGUUUAUAACCUUGGUUGAAAAGCCUGGGUAAUCUUUUGAACUUUCGUCGUGAUGGGGCUAGACCCUUGCAAUUAUUGGUCUCCAACGAGGAAUUCUUAGUAAACGCAAGUCAUCAGCUUGCAUUGAUUACGUCCCUGCCCUUUGUACACACCGCCCGUCGCACCUACCGAUUGAAUGGUCCGGUGAAAUCUUCGGAUUGAGACUUUGAUUUCUUCACGGAAAACGCUGUUUUAAAAAGUUGAUUAAACCUUACCAUUUAGAGGAAGGUGAAGUCGUAACA